Molecule: ribosomal RNA, 248 nt
Filed under: uncultured Muribaculaceae bacterium
Lineage: Bacteria; Pseudomonadati; Bacteroidota; Bacteroidia; Bacteroidales; Muribaculaceae
Description: partial 16S ribosomal RNA
Rfam family: Bacterial small subunit ribosomal RNA
Source: RNAcentral
UACGUAGGGGGCGAGCGUUAUCCGGAUUUAUUGGGCGUAAAGCGUGUGUAGGCGGUUUAUUAAGUCUAAGAUUAAAGCCUGAGGCUCAACCUCAGUUCGUCUUAGAAACUGGUAGACUUGAGUGUGGUAGAGGCAAGUGGAAUUUCUAGUGUAGCGGUUAAAUGCGUAGAUAUUAGAAGGAACACCAGUGGCGAAGGCGGCUUGCUGGGCCAUUACUGACGCUGAGACACGAAAGCGUGGGGAGCAAA